This 319-nucleotide ribosomal RNA is filed under the name Klebsiella michiganensis. Its description in RNAcentral is "bacterial LSU rRNA". It matches the Rfam family "Bacterial large subunit ribosomal RNA", at positions 484 to 692 of the family's 2925-position model. The record is from RNAcentral. Lineage: Bacteria; Pseudomonadati; Pseudomonadota; Gammaproteobacteria; Enterobacterales; Enterobacteriaceae.
CCGAUAGUGAACCAGUACCGUGAGGGAAAGGCGAAAAGAACCCCGGCGAGGGGAGUGAAAAAGAACCUGAAACCGUGUACGUACAAGCAGUAGGAGCCCCACCACCAAAGCGUUUCGCUUUGCGUGGUGCGCAAAAUGCGUAACGACAGCGCGAUGGACGGUUAACGGAGCGUAAGCGACGUUCAACAUCAAAAAUCAAGCAGUGGAGCGUUUUGGGGUGGGGUGACUGCGUACCUUUUGUAUAAUGGGUCAGCGACUUAUAUUCUGUAGCAAGGUUAACCGUAUAGGGGAGCCGCAGGGAAACCGAGUCUUAACUGGG